GUGAAUUUGACCUUGGCCUAUACAACGGUUUGAACGGUUUGUUCUGGGAAACAAGACGCUUUCUGCACAGGAAUAGUGCAACCAUGCUGAUCGCGUAGAUAUGAUGUACCUAUGAUGCUCCGAGACUGAGCAACACUGAUCUGUAGUCAAUUUGAAGUCAUUUUGACCUUGACCUUUGUGCUAUAUAUGAAUGGUAAAGUAAAUAUGUAUCCAUGGUGAUCACAAGGAUAUAACUAGCUAGGUGAGAUAAUAUCAACAUGAGGGAUGGGUAAACAUAGCUAGGUGAGAUAACAACAUGAGGGAAGGGUUAACAUAGCUAGGUGAGACAACAACAUGAGGGAAGGGUAAACAUAGCUAGGUGAGAUAAAAUCAACAUGAGGGAUAGGUUAACAUAGCGAGGUGAGACAACAACAUGAGGGAAGGGUUAACAUAGCUAGGUGAGACAACAACAUGAGGGAAGGGUUAACAUAGCGAGGUGAGACAACAACAUGAGGGAAGGGUUAACAUAGCGAGGUGAGAUAACAACAUGAGGGUAGGGUUAACAUAGCGAGGUGAGAUAACAACAUGAGGGGAGGGUUAACAUAGCGAGGUGAGAUAACAACAUGAGGGAAGGGUUAACAUAGCGAGGUGAGAUAACAACAUGAGGGAAGGGUUAACAUAGCGAGGUGAGACAACAACAUGAGGGAAGGGUUAACAUAGCUAGGUGAGACAACAACAUGAGGGUAGGGUUAACAUAGCGAGGUGAGACAACAACAUGAGGGAAGGGUUAACAUAGCUAGGUGAGACAACAACAUGAGGGUAGGGUUAACAUAGCGAGGUGAGAUAACAACAUGAGGGAAGGGUUAACAUAGCUAGGUGAGACAACAUGAGGGAAGGAAACGAGGUGAGACAACAACAUGAGGGAAGGGUUAACAUAG
RNAcentral lists this long non-coding RNA (917 nucleotides) under Salmo salar (Atlantic salmon). Its description in RNAcentral is "lncRNA (ENSSSAG00000095205.1)". Lineage: Eukaryota; Metazoa; Chordata; Actinopteri; Salmoniformes; Salmonidae. The record is from RNAcentral.